This 917-nucleotide ribosomal RNA is filed under the name uncultured bacterium. RNAcentral's name for it is "bacterial SSU rRNA". It matches the Rfam family "Bacterial small subunit ribosomal RNA", at positions 8 to 905 of the family's 1533-position model. The record is from RNAcentral.
AGAGUUUGAUCCUGGCUCAGGACGAACGCUGGCGGCGUGCCUAAUACAUGCAAGUCGAACGAGAGCGACCGGUGCUUGCACUGGUCAAUCUAGUGGCGAACGGGUGAGUAACACGUGGGUAACCUGCCCAUCAGAGGGGGAUAACAUUCGGAAACGGAUGCUAAAACCGCAUAGGUUCUUGAGUCGCAUGACUCGAGAAGGAAAAGAGGCUUCGGCUUCUGCUGAUGGAUGGACCCGCGGUGCAUUAGCUAGUUGGUGAGGUAACGGCUCACCAAGGCCGUGAUGCAUAGCCGACCUGAGAGGGUGAUCGGCCACAUUGGGACUGAGACACGGCCCAAACUCCUACGGGAGGCAGCAGUAGGGAAUCUUCCGCAAUGGACGCAAGUCUGACGGAGCAACGCCGCGUGAGUGAAGAAGGAUUUCGGUUCGUAAAACUCUGUUGUUAGAGAAGAACAGCGCAUAGAGUAACUGUUAUGCGUGUGACGGUAUCUAACCAGAAAGCCACGGCUAACUACGUGCCAGCAGCCGCGGUAAUACGUAGGUGGCAAGCGUUGUCCGGAUUUAUUGGGCGUAAAGCGAGCGCAGGCGGUCAAUUAAGUCUGAUGUGAAAGCCCCCGGCUCAACCGGGGAGGGUCAUUGGAAACUGGUUGACUUGAGUGCAGAAGAGGAGAGUGGAAUUCCAUGUGUAGCGGUGAAAUGCGUAGAUAUAUGGAGGAACACCAGUGGCGAAGGCGACUCUCUGGUCUGUAACUGACGCUGAGGCUCGAAAGCGUGGGUAGCAAACAGGAUUAGAUACCCUGGUAGUCCACGCCGUAAACGAUGAGUGCUAAGUGUUGGAGGGUUUCCGCCCUUCAGUGCUGCAGUUAACGCAUUAAGCACUCCGCCUGGGGAGUACGACCGCAAGGUUGAAACUCAAA